RNAcentral lists this long non-coding RNA (290 nucleotides) under Ananas comosus (pineapple). RNAcentral's name for it is "long non-coding RNA (ACOM_LNC034278)". The record is from RNAcentral. Lineage: Eukaryota; Viridiplantae; Streptophyta; Magnoliopsida; Poales; Bromeliaceae.
AUUCUCAACUCUUGAGAAUAUAUGUCAUCAUCUUAUUAAUUCCUUGGACGAUUCAUGGACACAUACACAACAUGAAUGAAAAUAAUAACCCAAAUUUAUUCAUAAUAUUUUAAAGUCAAAUACAAAUUUAUGUCCUAGAAAGAAUACAUGUGUCAGCCUAGUUGGCUUCUAGGGCAUAUAUCUAACAAUAUGAUGUAUAAGAUAAGAAUGAAAGAAUGUAAAUGUUGAAUGCAUGUAUGUGAUUAAAAGUUAAUCAUAGUACUGGUAUGAAUGUUUAGUUUAGAAUCUUU